CGCGGCCUAUCAGCUUGUUGGUGGGGUAACGGCCUACCAAGGCGACGACGGGUAGCCGGCCUGAGAGGGCGACCGGCCACACUGGGACUGAGACACGGCCCAGACUCCUACGGGAGGCAGCAGUGGGGAAUAUUGCGCAAUGGGCGAAAGCCUGACGCAGCGACGCCGCGUGGGGGAUGAAGGCCUUCGGGUUGUAAACCCCUUUCAGCAGGGGCGAAGCGAAAGUGACGGUACCUGCAGAAGAAGCGCCGGCUAACUACGUGCCAGCAGCCGCGGUAACACGUAGGGCGCAAGCGUUGUCCGGAAUUAUUGGGCGUAAAGAGCUCGUAGGCGGUCUGUUGCGUCCGCUGUGAAAACUCGGGGCUUAACCCCGAGCCUGCAGUGGAUACGGGCAGACUAGAGGUAGGUAGGGGAGAAUGGAAUUCCCGGUGUAGCGGUGAAAUGCGCAGAUAUCGGGAGGAACACCGGUGGCGAAGGCGGUUCUCUGGGCCUUACCUGACGCUGAGGAGCGAAAGCGUGGGGAGCGAACAGGAUUAGAUACCCUGGUAGUCCACGCCGUAAACGUUGGGCGCUAGGUGUGGGAUCCUUCCACGGAUUCCGUGCCGCAGCUAACGCAUUAAGCGCCCCGCCUGGGGAG
RNAcentral lists this ribosomal RNA (637 nucleotides) under uncultured bacterium. Its description in RNAcentral is "bacterial SSU rRNA". It matches the Rfam family "Bacterial small subunit ribosomal RNA", at positions 232 to 880 of the family's 1533-position model. The record is from RNAcentral.